GCUAACUCCGUGCCAGCAGCCGCGGUAAUACGGAGGGUCCGAGCGUUAAUCGGAAUUACUGGGCGUAAAGCGUGCGCAGGCGGUUUGUUAAGCGAGAUGUGAAAGCCCCGGGCUCAACCUGGGAAUUGCAUUUCGAACUGGCGAACUAGAGUCUUGUAGAGGGGGGUAGAAUUCCAGGUGUAGCGGUGAAAUGCGUAGAGAUCUGGAGGAAUACCGGUGGCGAAGGCGGCCCCCUGGACAAAGACUGACGCUCAGGCACGAAAGCGUGGGGAGCAAACAGGAUUAGAUACCCUGGUAGUCCACGCCGUAAACGAUGUCUACUCGGAGUUUGGUGUCUUGAACACUGGGCUCUCAAGCUAACGCAUUAAGUAGACCGCCUGGGGAGUACGGCCGCAAGGUUAAAACUCAAAUGAAUUGACGGGGGCCCGCACAAGCGGUGGAGCAUGUGGUUUAAUUCGAUGCAACGCGAAGAACCUUACCUACUCUUGACAU
RNAcentral lists this ribosomal RNA (492 nucleotides) under Shewanella sp. Nj-58. Its description in RNAcentral is "bacterial SSU rRNA". It matches the Rfam family "Bacterial small subunit ribosomal RNA", at positions 496 to 987 of the family's 1533-position model. Lineage: Bacteria; Pseudomonadati; Pseudomonadota; Gammaproteobacteria; Alteromonadales; Shewanellaceae. The record is from RNAcentral.